UAACUUGAGAGUUUGAUCCUGGCUCAGAACGAACGCUGGCGGCAGGCCUAACACAUGCAAGUCGAACGAGCCCUUCGGGGCGAGUGGCGCACGGGUGA
RNAcentral lists this ribosomal RNA (98 nucleotides) under Inquilinus sp. RNAcentral's name for it is "partial 16S ribosomal RNA". It matches the Rfam family "Bacterial small subunit ribosomal RNA", at positions 1 to 109 of the family's 1533-position model. The record is from RNAcentral. Lineage: Bacteria; Pseudomonadati; Pseudomonadota; Alphaproteobacteria; Rhodospirillales; Rhodospirillaceae.